AAGUCGUAACAAGGUUUCCGUAGGUGAACCUGCGGAAGGAUCAUUAACACGUAUCCAAACGUUAAAACCCUCCCCGUGAACCUUCAUCCUGCUCUUGUAACCCGCGUAGUUCGCAAUCUCUGAUAAAUCAUAGCCCGGAAAGUGGACCCUUUGGCAAAGCUCCUGCCCGAGUGUACGGUCUACAGGAAUCGUAGAAGCGCUAUCCUUGCACAAUCAAUGACACUUUCCGACACUGACUGCUUGGAGAAACAUUGCCUAUAGAACUACCGCUCGAUUGUAACUGUUCCAAUGUUCGCACGUAGCCAGAGGUCUCUGAAUCACUACAAUGCCCCCUAAUAACCCCACAGUUCAAUGUGAAGCUCAAUGUAAUACAUUGGGUAAAAAAACCGAACAACUGUUAACAAUGGAUAUCUUGGUUCUC
Molecule: unclassified non-coding RNA, 421 nt
Filed under: fungal sp.
Lineage: Eukaryota; Fungi
Description: partial internal transcribed spacer region
Rfam family: Eukaryotic small subunit ribosomal RNA (bases 1-46)
Source: RNAcentral